GACGAACCGAGCGAACGUUGUUCGGAAUCACUGGGCUUAAAGGGCGCGUCGGCGGGUUCUCAAGUCCGGGGUGAAAUCCCACAGCUCAACUGUGGAACUGCCUCGGAUACUGGGGGCCUCGAGGGUGGUAGGGGUAUGCGGAACUAUCGGUGGAGCGGUGAAAUGCGUUGAUAUCGAUAGGAACUCCGGUGGCGAAGGCGGCAUACUGGACCACAUCUGACGCUGAGGCGCGAAAGCCAGGGGAGCAAACGGG
RNAcentral lists this ribosomal RNA (253 nucleotides) under uncultured bacterium. RNAcentral's name for it is "partial 16S ribosomal RNA". It matches the Rfam family "Bacterial small subunit ribosomal RNA", at positions 524 to 776 of the family's 1533-position model. The record is from RNAcentral.